UUUAGCAAAAUUCCUCCCUAUUAAAAAAAAAAAAUGAAAAGCAAAAUAUUUAAAUCCUAAGACUAGUCGAAUCCACAUCAAACACUCCUGAGCUUGCGCAACACCGUAUUCUUACCCUCCCCGCCACGCUAAAACCCCUAAUCCCAGCACAAAACCCUUUCAGCCCGCAUUUCUAAUCCUCAGUCCUUUCCCUCAGCUCCCGCUGCAGAGUGCAAACACACCGAAACUUAACAAAAAUAUCAGUAAUGGCUGCUGCUUGGCGUGGCUCCAUUUCCAGAUCACUCCUCUCCACCGCGAGAGCCUCCACCUUCCGAUCAGCUCCAGCUGUGCCCCGCGUCCGUCCUCCAACUCUUUCCUCCCUUCGUCUCCGUCCUCGUCGCCUCUCCUUCGCCCAUCCUAGGACAACGGGCGAGCUGGGAUGCGCUCAAUCCCUGAUGCCUCUGUGCAAUGUGACGGCCGGAGCCCAACUGACAUCCCACUUGACUGCUAACUUGCGGGCUUGUUGCGAGCUGUCUCACGGUACCUUCUGCCGAACUUGUCAGGAUCGCUAGUAGUAGGAGGAAUGGAAAAGAUGGGUGAUGUCAGCUGCAAUUCCGAGCAUCCAAAGGCGGGAGUAAUGGUCGCACUGUACUUGAACAUGUUGUUGGAUCAGCACAACAGCUGCUAGUUGACUUGGACAAACCUUACAGGAACUGCUUCUUGGAAUUGCAAAUUUCAAUGAGAAUAGGUGUAGGUCGUUUGUUCACUUUUUUCCUUAGAAACUAGAAAUUUAAUGACUUAGAACAAUAUCGUGGAUUACUCGAGCAAGUGGGUUGUGAUCUUCAUAUAAUUUUGAUGCAUGAAUUUCUCGUUCUAAAAUUCCUAGCUUUGCUGUUAUAGUUUCCUUUCAACGUGUAAAUUUCUACUUGGCUUCAAUAUUGCAGCUUCCUCUCUGUCAUGUA
Molecule: RNA transcript, 941 nt
Organism: Coffea arabica (coffee)
Lineage: Eukaryota; Viridiplantae; Streptophyta; Magnoliopsida; Gentianales; Rubiaceae
Gene name: protein NONRESPONDING TO OXYLIPINS 2, mitochondrial
Source: RefSeq, a predicted model, not a curated record